RNAcentral lists this unclassified non-coding RNA (378 nucleotides) under plant metagenome. RNAcentral's name for it is "partial contains 5.8S ribosomal RNA, internal transcribed spacer 2, and large subunit ribosomal RNA". The stretch from base 1 to 105 matches the Rfam family "5.8S ribosomal RNA", at positions 50 to 154 of the family's 154-position model. The record is from RNAcentral.
GAAGUGCGAUAAGUAAUGUGAAUUGCAGAAUUCAGUGAAUCAUCGAAUCUUUGAACGCAGCUUGCGCUCCUUGGUAUUCCUUGGAGCAUGCCUGUUUGAGUAUCAUGAAAUCUUCAAAGUAAAUCUUUUGUUAACUCAAUUGGUUUCUACUUUGGUAUUGGAGGUCUUUGCAGCUUCACACCUGCUCCUCUUUGUUCAUUAGCUGGAUCUCAGUGUUAUGCUUGGUUCCACUCGGCGUGAUAAGUUAUCUAUCGCUGAGGACACUGUAAAAGGUGGCCAAGGUAAAUGCAGAUGAACCGCUUCUAAUAGUCCAUUGACUUGGACAAUACUUUUAUGAUCUGAUCUCAAAUCAGGUAGGACUACCCGCUGAACUUAAGC